CCUACGGGUGGCAGCAGUGAGGAAUAUUGGUCAAUGGGCGUGAGCCUGAACCAGCCAAGUAGCGUGAAGGAUGACUGCUCUAUGGGUUGUAAACUUCUUUUAUAAAGGAAUAAAGUGCGGCACGUGUGCCUUUUUGUAUGUACUUUAUGAAUAAGGAUCGGCUAACUCCGUGCCAGCAGCCGCGGUAAUACGGAGGAUCCGAGCGUUAUCCGGAUUUAUUGGGUUUAAAGGGAGCGUAGAUGGGUUGUUAAGUCAGUUGUGAAAGUUUGCGGCUCAACCGUAAAAUUGCAGUUGAUGCUGGCAGGCUUGAGUACAGUUGAGGUAGGCGGAAUUCGUGGUGUAGCGGUGAAAUGCUUAGAUAUCACGCAGAACUCCGAUUGCGAAGGCAGCCUGCUAAGCUGCGACUGACAUUGAUGCUCGAAAGUGUGGGUAUCAAACAGGAUUAGAUACCCUUGUAGUC
This 460-nucleotide ribosomal RNA is filed under the name uncultured bacterium. RNAcentral describes it as "partial 16S ribosomal RNA". It matches the Rfam family "Bacterial small subunit ribosomal RNA", at positions 338 to 795 of the family's 1533-position model. The record is from RNAcentral.